GGUCGUGCUGAAGGCCUGUUUCCUAGGCUGCACAUGGGGGACUGGUUCCUUGUUCUGCCUAGGGGAAAGUUCUCAAACCUCUGGCAGAGAGUGCCGCGUGUACACGCACAUAGACAUCCCUCCACUUCUCACUGUUAAAUCCUGCCAAGAAGCGAAUCUCGCUGAGCUGCAUGAUGCAGAGGCAUCAUCAGUCAGCUCCACUAGUUAACAGGCAGUGCAUGUCUUAGCGCACCAACCACAUAGGGCUCGUUCUCAACGCGGC
Molecule: unclassified non-coding RNA, 262 nt
Organism: Otolemur garnettii (small-eared galago)
Lineage: Eukaryota; Metazoa; Chordata; Mammalia; Primates; Galagidae
Rfam family: RNase MRP
About the family: RNase MRP is an enzymatically active ribonucleoprotein with two distinct roles in eukaryotes. In mitochondria it plays a direct role in the initiation of mitochondrial DNA replication.
Source: Ensembl